Molecule: RNA transcript, 5904 nt
Organism: Osmia lignaria (orchard mason bee)
Lineage: Eukaryota; Metazoa; Arthropoda; Insecta; Hymenoptera; Megachilidae
Gene: Klp31E
Gene name: kinesin-like protein 31E
Source: RefSeq, a predicted model, not a curated record
AAGGAACUUGUAUGAUUUCUAACUAAUUACAAAUGACUCCUUCUUUUCGAAGUCUGUUGAAAAGAAAAUUAAAAGAAAAUCACAAAAUAUGGAAUUUAGAAAGAACGAAGUUGUUUGAUACGCAAUGGUAGAAAGAAAUCAACCCUGGCGAAGAUAUUUCAAGCAGAGACGUUGUACAUUGGAAUUAGAAGUUUGGCCUCCACGCUAUCAUCGCCUUAACCAAUAUGAUGCUGUAUGUUCACUUCAUGCCAUAAAGAAUCAAAGAUGUCUGUCAUGUAUGCCUUCAGUCCAACAUCCGUACAGUUCUUGGGCCGACGCGACUAGGAUAGAAAUUUUCUUUUCGUUAUGAGAAAUGUUUGAGUGGAUUUUACGGUCCCCUGUGUGCGCGUUGACGACGAAAAAUGCGGAUAUUUCAUGGUCACCGCAUUUAGUAACGCGUGCGCAUUUAUGGUAUUCAAGUAUCUCGAAGAAUUAUAGCCAUCGCCUAAUAGAUUCGGCCUAAUCUCAACAGUUUCUCGUUGAUUUCCUCGCUGAAGUUUUACCGCUUUCGCAUCUUAAGAAGUUGCACAAUAUUCCACAUCGAAAUGUCUGAUGACACGAGUGUACGAGUCGCUGUGCGAAUAAGGCCUCAGGUAGCGCGUGAAGUAAUUGAUAUGUGUAGAAUAUGUACACAAGUACCUCCAGGGGAACCCCAGGUCUUUCUUGGACCAGACAAGGCCUUUACAUAUGAUUAUGUCUUUGAUACCGGUAUUGGGCAAAGCAUAAUUUAUGAAACGUGUGUUGCACGUUUGAUAGAAGGUGCAUUAGAUGGAUAUAAUGCGACCGUUCUUGCUUAUGGCCAGACUGGCUCUGGCAAAACUUACACCAUGGGCACUGGAUUUGAUGUAGAAGUCGAUGAAACUGUGGUUGGCAUUAUCCCCAGAGCUAUUAGACACUUGUUUGAUGGGAUUGUAGAGAAACAGAAACAUGCCAGAGAAUGUGCACAAAUGCCUCCAGAGUUUAAGGUUACUGCCCAAUUUUUGGAAUUGUAUAAUGAAGACUUAAAGGAUUUAUUGGAACCUGGUGGACCUAGAGGUGGUGCUAGAAUUCAUGAAGAUACUUCUGGCAACAUACAUUUAGCUGGAGUAGAACCAAGAAUUGUAACUAGUCCUGAACAAGCCUUAGAAUAUUUAAGACUGGGAGCAUUGUCGCGUACAACUGGAUCUACCCAAAUGAAUACUCAGUCAUCAAGAUCGCAUGCAAUCUUUACAUUGCAUAUAAAGCAACAGAGAUACAUCAAAGUUGAAGAUCCAGAUGCUGAUGUUGAUACAAGUGGCACAGAACCAGCAAGUGAAUUUGAAACUUUAACUGCAAAGUUUCAUUUUGUUGAUUUAGCUGGUUCAGAAAGAUUAAAGAGAACCGGUGCCACUGGAGAUAGAGCAAAAGAGGGGAUAUCUAUAAAUUGUGGAUUGUUGGCUCUGGGUAAUGUAAUUUCUGCGCUUGGGGACAAGGCAAAAAAGGCUCUACAUGUACCAUACAGAGAUUCAAAAUUGACUAGAUUACUCCAAGAUUCACUAGGAGGCAAUAGUCAAACUGUUAUGAUAGCAUGUGUCUCACCAAGUGACAGAGAUUUUAUGGAAACUUUAAGUACCCUUAAGUAUGCGAAUAGAGCGAGGAAUAUUAAGAACAAAGUCACAAUUAACCAAGAUAAGAGCUCAAGAACAAUUGCUUCUCUUCGGCGAGAAAUUCAGCAACUUCAAUUAGAAUUAAUGGAAUACAGACAAGGCAAAAGGGUUGUCGGAGAGGAUGGUGUAAACGAUGCUUGGCAUGAAAAUCAAAUGUUAAAUAGUGAAUUGCAAAGUCUUCGUACUAGAGUAAAAGCUCUUUCGGAAACAGUUGAAGCACUGACGGCAAAGAAUGUUCUUCUGCUGGCAGAAAAAGCUACUGGUCAGUGGGUAUCAACGGAUGGAAAUAGCGAAGUAACAAGUUUAGUACAAGGAUACGUUCGAGAGAUAGAAGAGUUAAGGGCUCGCCUUUUGGAAGCAGAGGCUAUGUAUCAGCAGCUAAAGAAACGACAAAUGCAGGUCAAUGCAGCAAAUCCUUAUGGCGAUUCUGGAUAUAUAUGUCAUAGCGAUUCUGUGUCGAUAUUAAACGAUGCUAAGAAAGAGGUUCAGAAAGAAAUUGAAGCUUUAACCGCGUUACGAGAACAACAUGCACAGACUAUUAACACUGCCAGUAAAACAGGGGAUGAAGGGGAAGGUGAUGAUACAGAAAUGGCUCAAGAUUCUGUAAGCGAAGACGAAUCGGAUGAUGAUUCUGAUAGGAAAGAAGAGGAUGAAGAAGAAGAAGCGAUGGGCCGUGAAUUAGAAGCGUUAACAUCCGACAUCGAUGUAAAACAACGAUUAAUACAAGAACUUGAACUCUCCCAAAGACGCUUGCAAACGAUGAAACAACAUUAUGAAGAUAAACUUGCUCAGCUACAAGCACGAAUUAAAGAUACCCAGGAAGAAAGAGAUAAGGUAUUACACUCUUUGCAACAGCAACCAACCCCGCAAACAGAAAAGGUAAAAAAAUUACGCGACGAAUACGAGAAGAAACUUUCUGCCAUGCAAAAGGAAAUGCAACUUUUAAAGUCUGCAAAGAAAGAGCAUGCGAGGUUGCUUAAAAAUCAAUCUCAGAAUGAAAAUAGGUUAAGAGGAUUAAGAAACGAAUUGGCAGAGAUGAAGAGAGCAAAAGUGAAGCUUCUAAAUAAAAUGCGCGAGGAGGCGCAGAGACACAAAGAGAAUGAACUAAGACGAAAUAGGGAAAUAGCACAACUGCGGAAGGAGAGUAGAAAGAAUGCGAAUAUGAUUCGUACGCUUGAGGCUGAUAAAAGAAUGAAAGAGGUGGUGCUUAGACGCAAACAAGAAGAAGUAUCGGCAUUGAGAAAAAGGGACAGAGGCCUUAGCCUGAAAGCUGCGGGCAGAGCACCGCCUAAGCCGAUUAAUCCAAAGGCAUUGAAACAGAGGUGGCAAACGUUCGAGAGAACUAUCGCGAAACAAGCAUUGGCUAAACAAGCUGCAGCAGAAACGGAGAGAGAAAUGGAAAGGCUUCUUCAAGAACGAGAAGAGUUGGGUAGGGAACUAGAAAAGCUUCAGAAGCACAGAAAUGUUAUAGCAAGUUCAAGAGGAGAUACGAAUGAUAUCGACGAAGAGAUUGAUAACGUCAAAAGUAAAAUUAGUUAUUUGCAGGAUAGCAUUGCCGAAUGUCAACGUGACAUGGUGGAAAUGGGCGAUGGAGAAGCUGAAGGCGAACCCGGUGUCGAAGCGCUUAUAUCGACGAUUCAAUCAGUAGACGAAGCUCAAUAUUUAUUACAAAGAAUGCUAGCAUUCACCGUGGAACAAAGUUGCGUAGCCGCUCAAAAACAACACGAAAUUCGUGAUAUGGAAUCGCGAUUAAAUCAAGUUGCACAAGAAAGUGAUGUACAACAUCAGUUGCUAGAACACGUAUUACGAGAUAGAGAUCUAUUGUCUCUUACAAAUAAUCAUCACAAUACGUCGACUUAUAGUCCUCUAAGUUCAAGAAGCUCGUCGCCAGAUAAUGAAAAUUAUAAUCAAGUUAUAUUCGGAGAAGAGAAACAACGUAAUAAUAAAGUAAGAAGAAGAACUACACAACCUCAGGAACUUCUUUAUGGCGUUCAAGCCAGUCAGGAUAAUUUGAAGACAGAAGAUCAAAGUCAGAAUCAUAAUCAUCCACUCACGAGAGUACCGAGUGCGCCUGGUAGUUUAAAGGGUUUAGUAUUAACAAGAAGUCAGCAUAGUAUAGGUGGUGGAUCUCCGACUUUAAGUCGGCGCGAUAGCACAUCGCCAAGGCCAUUGCGACGACCACUUCACCCGGGUGGAGGCUCCAUGGAACAGGUAGCUCAUACAGACGUGUCAUCACCACCUGGAUCACCAACUACCUACCGACGAUUCAACAGUCGAGAAGAAAACGUUUUCUCUAGGCUAACUGCGAGUAGGCAACCAGCAUCAACAGAACCACAGCCUAUGAAAGGAAUUAUUUCUCAGUAUCAAGGCAAGAUACAACCAAGAGCGGUUUUACAUUGUUCUCAUGUAGCAGAGGGACACAGUAAAGCUGUUUUAACAAUGUGUGCAACUGCAGAUUUACUAUUCAGUGGUUCAAAAGACCGGACUGUUAAAGUAUGGGAUCUAGGAACAGGAAUUGAAAACCUUACACUAACUGGUCAUCCAAAUAACGUGGUUGCAGUGAAAUACUCUCCACUGCAUGAUUUAUUAUUCAGCGUUUCUUCAGCUUAUGUAAAAGUUUGGGAUUUGAGAGCGGGGAACAAUUGUAUUAAAACUCUAUAUUCGUCCGGCCAAGUCCAGAGUGGGCCGAUCACGUUAUCAACAACAUCUAGGAUGCUUCAACUUCCUGUCGGUGAAACAACUAUCAAUGAUUUGGUACUUAGUACCGACGAACAAGAAUUAUAUACUGCAUCCAGUGAUAAAGUUAGAGUAUGGGAUCUUCGUAAAUUAACGUGUACUGGAAGAUUAAGUACACCACACACGGCAGCAGUAAUGUGUUUGGCUGUUGCGGAGGAUGGUAAAGUGAUAACAGGCAGCAAAGAUCAUUUGAUAUCCCUUGUUGAACCAAAUACAUCCGGUCAGUCGAUCAGCCUGGCACCACCACAUUAUGAUGGUGUCCAAUGUUUAACAACUUGCGAUUCAACCCUAUUUUCUGGGUCGAGGGAUAUGUGUAUUAAACGCUGGGAUCUGAGCAGGAUGGAAUUAGUCCAGUCGCUAAAUAAUGCACACAAAGAUUGGAUUUUAGGCUUGUGUAUGGUUAACAGUGGAACUGUAAUGAUAUCGGGUUGUCGAGGAGGAACAUUGAAGGCAUGGUCUGUACCAAAGGAUCAAGGGGAAUGUAGUCCAAUAGGAGAAGUCAGAGCGCAUGGUUCUGCUAUUAAUGCUGUAAUAACUAAUCAGCAACACAUUUUUACUGCAAGCAACUCUGGGGAGGUGAAGCUGUGGCGUAUUCCCGAUUCCUCAAUAUCCAUGUCUAUUUCCACAGUUUCUCUUUAACUUAUCUUUUUACUUUGCUGCAUAUUAUUUUUUUGCAUUUAUAGGUUGUUGAUGUGGUAAUGCGCAUGCCUGUCUAAACACACUUUGCUGUUGUUCAAAAGUGUGUGGACAUGUCUGUCAUAAAAGACCUGAUAUAAAUUGACGGAACGGUGAAGCUGUGGAACUACUGUAAGAGAGAUGCAAGAACUUUCCAGAGAAGCAACUCAUUGAAAAGUUAAUACAUGCACCUAAGAUAAUGUAUUUAUUUUAUGACUAUAAUAUUUUUUAUUUAUUUGUUAAUUUAUAACACGAUAGAAUAUUAAUAUGAUAAUUUGAAAUGAUAAUGCACCUGACUUAUUGCUUGCUGGUUUUGAUAUUUUAUUUUUUGUGAACAUGUAUGUAUAAAUGUGUUUUUUGUUUUUACACGUCUUGUAACUUCAGUUUUGUAUGUUACCGUCUUAUAUUAUUUAAUAUAAGUAUCAAAUAUUAAUUGAAUUUAUAAACAACUUUUAAACAAUAAACAGAAACAUUUUUCAUAUAAAUAAUAUACGGUCCAAGAACGUCAUAUUAAAAAUUGAAUUUAGCAAAAAUUAAGUGCAUUAUCGCGAGGUAGUUCAGCAUAGGAUUGAAAGAAAUUUAUUUAAUAAGAACAAAUUUGGUAUUACCUAGCAUUUAUUUUAUUAUGAACAUUAAGGUGGUAAUAAUUAUAAUAUUUACUUUUAGUACAAACAAUAAUUGUUGAUUAAUACUGUACAGUCUGAGGUCUCUGUAGGUCCCAAAUGCUUGAUAUUGUCAGGGUUGGCUGUUAUUUAGUUUUCUUCUAAAAAUUUAAAAACAGUAUUAUGCUUAAUUAUAUUUAUAAUUAUAAAAAAUAAAUUGAUUCAAA